This 420-nucleotide ribosomal RNA is filed under the name uncultured bacterium. RNAcentral's name for it is "bacterial SSU rRNA". It matches the Rfam family "Bacterial small subunit ribosomal RNA", at positions 917 to 1338 of the family's 1533-position model. The record is from RNAcentral.
GGGCCCGCACAAGCGGUGGAGUAUGUGGUUUAAUUCGAUGCAACGCGAAGAACCUUACCAGGGCUUAAAUGUAGUGGGACAGGUCUAGAGAUAGACCCUUCUUCGGACUCAUUACAAGGUGCUGCAUGGUUGUCGUCAGCUCGUGCCGUGAGGUGUCAGGUUAAGUCCUAUAACGAGCGCAACCCCUAUCGUUAGUUGCCUAGCGGGUAAUGCCGGGAACUCUAGCGAAACUGCCGGUGCAAACCGAGAGGAAGGUGGGGAUGACGUCAAAUCAUCACGGCCCUUACGUCCUGGGCUACACACGUGCUACAAUGGCCGGUACAGAGAGCAGCCACUACGCGAGUAGGAGCGAAUCUAUAAAACCGGUCUACAGUUCGGAUCGCAGUCUGCAACUCGACUGCGUGAAGCUGGAAUCGCUAG